GAAAUGCGAUACUUGGUGUGAAUUGCAGAAUUCAGUGAAUCAUCGAAUCUUUGAACGCAUCUUGCGCUCCUUGGUAUUCCGAGGAGCAUGCCUGUUUGAGUGUCAUCAAGUUCUCAACUGCACCCAUUGGAAGGGGUGUGGCUUUGGAUAUGGAGGUUUUUCUUUGCAGGCUUGAGGUCUGCUCCUCUGAAAUGUAUUAGCGGUAUGUGGAAGCUACUGUGGGUGUGAUAAACUAUCUAUGCCUUUGCAGUUAUUUCUGUUGUGCUGCUUCUAGUUAUUAUUUUUGACAAACUUGACCUCAAAUCAGGUAGGACUACCCGCUGAACUUAA
RNAcentral lists this unclassified non-coding RNA (330 nucleotides) under uncultured Inocybe. Its description in RNAcentral is "sequence contains ITS1". The stretch from base 1 to 105 matches the Rfam family "5.8S ribosomal RNA", at positions 50 to 154 of the family's 154-position model. The record is from RNAcentral. Lineage: Eukaryota; Fungi; Basidiomycota; Agaricomycetes; Agaricales; Cortinariaceae.